CCGGGAAACCGGGGCUAAUACCGGAUGGUUGUCUGAACCGCAUGGUUCAGACAUAAAAGGUGGCUUCGGCUACCACUUACAGAUGGACCCGCGGCGCAUUAGCUAGUUGGUGAGGUAACGGCUCACCAAGGCGACGAUGCGUAGCCGACCUGAGAGGGUGAUCGGCCACACUGGGACUGAGACACGGCCCAGACUCCUACGGGAGGCAGCAGUAGGGAAUCUUCCGCAAUGGACGAAAGUCUGACGGAGCAACGCCGCGUGAGUGAUGAAGGUUUUCGGAUCGUAAAGCUCUGUUGUUAGGGAAGAACAAGUGCCGUUCAAAUAGGGCGGCACCUUGACGGUACCUAACCAGAAAGCCACGGCUAACUACGUGCCAGCAGCCGCGGUAAUACGUAGGUGGCAAGCGUUGUCCGGAAUUAUUGGGCGUAAAGGGCUCGCAGGCGGUU
This 446-nucleotide ribosomal RNA is filed under the name Bacillus velezensis. Its description in RNAcentral is "bacterial SSU rRNA". It matches the Rfam family "Bacterial small subunit ribosomal RNA", at positions 149 to 580 of the family's 1533-position model. Lineage: Bacteria; Bacillati; Bacillota; Bacilli; Caryophanales; Bacillaceae. The record is from RNAcentral.